RNAcentral lists this ribosomal RNA (376 nucleotides) under Chloroscirtus discocercus. RNAcentral describes it as "partial 12S ribosomal RNA". It matches the Rfam family "Microsporidia small subunit ribosomal RNA", at positions 752 to 1197 of the family's 1311-position model. The record is from RNAcentral. Lineage: Eukaryota; Metazoa; Arthropoda; Insecta; Orthoptera; Tettigoniidae.
UAUUAUUUUAAUUGUUAAAUAAGAACUUGAGUAGUAAUAGUUAAGUUCUUAAAACUCAAAGAAUUUGGCGGUGUUUCAGUCUUUUCAGAGGAAUCUGUUUCGUGAUCGAUAGUACACGUUAAAUAUUACUUGAUUUUGUAAUCAACAAUUUGUAUACCGCCGUCAUAAGAGUAUCUUUUUAGGGAAAUAAUAUUCUGGAUAUUUGAAAGAAUAAUAUGUCAGGUCAAGGUGCAGUUUAUAAUUAAGGGAAAAUGGAUUACAAUAAAGAUAUUUAUAUGGAUUUUGUAAUGUAAUUUGCAUUUGAAGGUGGAUUUGAAGGUAAUAUUAUUAAAUUAUGAUAAUAUGAUUUAAGCGCUGAAGCGUGCACACAUCGCCC